Molecule: ribosomal RNA, 446 nt
Filed under: uncultured bacterium
Lineage: Bacteria
Description: bacterial SSU rRNA
Rfam family: Bacterial small subunit ribosomal RNA
Source: RNAcentral
ACUCCUACGGGAGGCAGCAGUGGGGAAUCUUGGACAAUGGGGGCAACCCUGAUCCAGCCAUGCCGCGUGAGUGAUGAAGGCCUUAGGGUCGUAAAGCUCUUUCGCCUGUGAUGAUAAUGACAGUAGCAGGUAAAGAAACCCCGGCUAACUCCGUGCCAGCAGCCGCGGUAAUACGGAGGGGUUAGCGUUGUUCGGAAUUACUGGGCGUAAAGCGCGCGUAGGCGGAUUAGUAAGUCAGAGGUGAAAUCCCGGGGCUCAACCCCGGAACUGCCUUUGAUACUGCUAGUCUUGAGUUCGAGAGAGGUGAGUGGAAUUCCGAGUGUAGAGGUGAAAUUCGUAGAUAUUCGGAGGAACACCAGUGGCGAAGGCGGCUCACUGGCUCGAUACUGACGCUGAGGUGCGAAAGUGUGGGAGCAAACAGGAUUAGAUACCCUGGUAGCGACUGA